GAUGAACGCUGGCGGCGUGCCUAAUACAUGCAAGUCGAGCGAACAGACGAGGAGCUUGCUCCUCUGACGUUAGCGGCGGACGGGUGAGUAACACGUGGAUAACCUACCUAUAAGACUGGGAUAACUUCGGGAAACCGGAGCUAAUACCGGAUAAUAUAUUGAACCGCAUGGUUCAAUAGUGAAAGACGGUUUUGCUGUCACUUAUAGAUGGAUCCGCGCCGCAUUAGCUAGUUGAUAAGGUAACGGCUUACCAAGGCAACGAUGCGUAGCCGACCUGAGAGGGGGAUCGGCCACACUGGAACUGAGACACGGUCCAGACGCCUACGGGAGGCAGCAGUAGGGAAUCUUCCGCAAUGGGCGAAAGCCUGACGGAGCAACGCCGCGUGAGUGAUGAAGGUCUUCGGAUCGUAAAACUCUGUUAUUAGGGAAGAACAAAUGUGUAAGUAACUAUGCACGUCUUGACGGUACCUAAUCAGAAAGCCACGGCUAACUACGUG
RNAcentral lists this ribosomal RNA (497 nucleotides) under uncultured bacterium. Its description in RNAcentral is "partial 16S ribosomal RNA". It matches the Rfam family "Bacterial small subunit ribosomal RNA", at positions 28 to 507 of the family's 1533-position model. The record is from RNAcentral.